Molecule: long non-coding RNA, 1035 nt
Organism: Arachis duranensis
Lineage: Eukaryota; Viridiplantae; Streptophyta; Magnoliopsida; Fabales; Fabaceae
Exons: 6
Source: RefSeq, a predicted model, not a curated record
GCACGCAUUCUGCGUUUCUCUCUGCUCUGCCGAGUUCUGCUAUACUCUGCCAUGUUCUUCUUCUCUGCCGUGUUCUUCUCCUCGCGUCGAGUUCUGCUUUACUCCACCAUGUUCUUCUGCUCGCGCCGAGGAAUUUCAUGUAACUCAAUUAGAUUACAGAAAGGCUAUCUGCGGAUAAAUGUGAGGCAGAGUUGUUAAGCAAGAAAUAUGAGGAGAAGUACAAACAUUGUAGCAGAAAUAACAUCCAAAUUGAUUGUUGAAGGCAGUUAUGAACAUUCUGUUGGAUAUUCAUGGCAUUGUGAUGGCUGUUCUUUACAGGAGAAAAGUGCAUUUUGGAUUCAGAACUUUGGCAUGCAUGUGCUGGUCCCCUUUUUUCUUUACCAGUUGUUCAAAACCGAAUUGUCUACUUUCCACAAGGUCACAGUGAACAGGACUUUAAACCUCUAUCUCUUUCUCUGUUCUUCGCACUGUGUUGGUUACUUCUCUUUGCAUUUUGGGUUCGUCGCUGUUGGCGUCUCCACCGUGUUCGUCGCUGCUCGCCUCACCUUGCCGUUGGUUUCGUCCCUGCUCGCAUCGCCAUCUGUUCAUCGCUGCUCACAUUUGAAGCUUCUGAUUUUUGGUCUUCUCGCUUCCAAUUUUCUCGUCGCCUUCUGCUCUUGGUAGCUUCUUGGCUCCUGGCUGGGUGCUGAGCUGCUCUGCACCGCCGUGGUGCAUCAUAGGUGUUGGAGUUGGCUGGGAAUUCUUUCAGUUCAAUUGAGUUAGCGCUAAGUUUUUCGCCAUGCUUCCAAUUACGUUCACAAAAGGAUUCAUGUUUCUUGAGUCACAAGGUGUCUUUGGAGUAUAUUAAUUCACCAAGAAUGGUGUUUGCAGCUACAAUGGAUAGGUUUCUUUUACCUGCGGGGUGAGACUGCAGUACACGUGGUGGAACGAGAAGUGCACGAAGAUGGUUCCGUGUGAUGUUUGGAGAUUGGAAAGUGGUGGCUUUGCAUGGAGGCUGGACGUGAAAGCUGCACUCAACUUGGGUCUCUGAAUAAA